RNAcentral lists this ribosomal RNA (250 nucleotides) under uncultured bacterium. RNAcentral describes it as "partial 16S ribosomal RNA". It matches the Rfam family "Bacterial small subunit ribosomal RNA", at positions 524 to 773 of the family's 1533-position model. The record is from RNAcentral.
UACAGAGGCCCCAAGCGUUAGUCGGAAUCACUGGGCUUAAAGGGUGCGUAGGCGGGCUCGCAAGCGUCUUGUGAAAUCCCAUGGCUCAACCAUGGAACCGCAGGGCGAACUGCGAGCCUCGAGGCAUGUAGGGGCGGGUGGAACUGUAGGUGGAGCGGUGAAAUGCGUAGAUAUCUACAGGAACGCCGAUGGGGAAGCCGACCCGCUGGGCAUGUCCUGACGCUGAGGCACGAAAGCGUGGGGAGCAAAC